This 284-nucleotide unclassified non-coding RNA is filed under the name uncultured fungus. RNAcentral describes it as "sequence contains ITS1". Lineage: Eukaryota; Fungi. The record is from RNAcentral.
GACGGAAGAUGGACGCCAUUUAUCCCCUACAGGCUUGCCGAUGUUGAUGUAGCCGUUCUCGAUGCGAGUGGGGCAACUGUCACGCUCAGCAAGGAACUGCGUAACAUUGGCACGCAUAUCGGCAACACGCUUCACGAUCCAACGAGCAACCAACUCCUGGUUCUCAACGACGAGGCCCUCAACGAUGUUCGCUUCGAACCAAAUCUGCGCGGCCGUUUUCUCAAUACGCGCAUCUCGCUCGUCAAUCUUGUAAAUUCAGUUGCCACUCCGGUCGAUCUUAAUCA